UCCAGCGGUAGUCAGCUACCCAUUGCUGCUCAGUGCCGGGGAUAGUGUUAUGCUGCUGGGAGAGAAACAGGCUGCCGAGCCGCGCCUGGCACCGCCUGCGCUGUUCUGGUGCUGGAUGGUGCCAGGCUUUGGCAGCACGCUGCAUGCUCGAGAGUGGAGUAACUCUUUCUCGGUGGAGUUAGUCCUAGAUUGGAUGCAGACAAU
RNAcentral lists this small nucleolar RNA (204 nucleotides) under Falco tinnunculus (common kestrel). RNAcentral's name for it is "Small nucleolar RNA SNORA74 (ENSFTIG00000006426.1)". It matches the Rfam family "Small nucleolar RNA SNORA74". From Rfam's summary of the family: U19 belongs to the H/ACA class of snoRNAs. snoRNAs bind a number of proteins (including dyskerin, Gar1p and Nop10p in the case of the H/ACA class) to form snoRNP complexes. The record is from Rfam by way of RNAcentral. Lineage: Eukaryota; Metazoa; Chordata; Aves; Falconiformes; Falconidae.